Small nuclear RNA from Cyprinus carpio carpio, 175 nucleotides. Its record names the gene U2. It matches the Rfam family "U2 spliceosomal RNA". From Rfam's summary of the family: U2 is a small nuclear RNA (snRNA) component of the spliceosome (involved in pre-mRNA splicing). Complementary binding between U2 snRNA (in an area lying towards the 5' end but 3' to hairpin I) and the branchpoint sequence (BPS) of the intron results the bulging out of an unpaired adenosine, on the BPS, which initiates a nucleophilic attack at the intronic 5' splice site, thus starting the first of two transesterification reactions that mediate splicing. The record is from Ensembl. NCBI's taxonomy places the organism in Eukaryota, Metazoa, Chordata, Actinopteri, Cypriniformes, Cyprinidae.
AAAACUUUUUCGAAAGAAAAAAAAAAAUCUGUUCUUAUCAGUUUAAUAUCUGAUAUGUCCCCUAUCUGGGGACAACAUAUUAAAUUGAUUUUUGGAUCACGGAGCUGGAGCUGGAGCUUGCUCUAUCCACUCAUUAGCCUGGUAUUGCAGUGUCUCCAGGAACGGUGUGCUUCCC